RNAcentral lists this microRNA precursor (146 nucleotides) under Gossypium hirsutum (cotton). RNAcentral describes it as "MIR7502 microRNA precursor family". It matches the Rfam family "MIR7502 microRNA precursor family". RNAcentral also lists the same sequence under 1 other name. The record is from Rfam by way of RNAcentral. Lineage: Eukaryota; Viridiplantae; Streptophyta; Magnoliopsida; Malvales; Malvaceae.
UGUUAAAAUUUUCAUCUAUUUCUACUAUUAAAAACUAAGAUGGCUAGCCAAAUAAUCAAAUAGUUAUAUGUGGUGUGCCACAUGUACCUUGUUCCAACAUUCAAGGACCAAUGUUUAAUAGCAAAAAAUAGAUGAAACUUUUAAUA